UACGUAGGGUGCGAGCGUUAAUCGGAAUUACUGGGCGUAAAGCGUGCGCAGGCGGUUUUGUAAGCCAGAUGUGAAAUCCCCGGGCUUAACCUGGGAACUGCAUUUGUGACUGCAUAGCUAGAGUACGGCAGAGGGGGAUGGAAUUCCGCGUGUAGCAGUGAAAUGCGUAGAUAUGCGGAGGAACACCGAUGGCGAAGGCAAUCCCCUGGGCCUGUACUGACGCUCAUGCACGAAAGCGUGGGGAGCAAACAGG
Molecule: ribosomal RNA, 253 nt
Filed under: uncultured bacterium
Lineage: Bacteria
Description: partial 16S ribosomal RNA
Rfam family: Bacterial small subunit ribosomal RNA
Source: RNAcentral